UACAGAGGGGGCAAGCGUUGUUCGGAAUUACUGGGCGUAAAGGGCGCGUAGGCGGCCUGCUAAGUCGAACGUGAAAUCCCUGGGCUCAACCCAGGAACUGCGUCCGAUACUGGUUGGCUUGAAUCCGGGAGAGGGAUGCGGAAUUCCAGGUGUAGCGGUGAAAUGCGUAGAUAUCUGGAGGAAGACCAGUGGCGAAGGCGGAUCUCUGGACAGUUACUGACACUGAGGCACGAAGGCCAGGGGAGCAAACGGG
RNAcentral lists this ribosomal RNA (253 nucleotides) under uncultured bacterium. Its description in RNAcentral is "partial 16S ribosomal RNA". It matches the Rfam family "Bacterial small subunit ribosomal RNA", at positions 524 to 776 of the family's 1533-position model. The record is from RNAcentral.